This 492-nucleotide ribosomal RNA is filed under the name uncultured bacterium. RNAcentral's name for it is "partial 16S ribosomal RNA". It matches the Rfam family "Bacterial small subunit ribosomal RNA", at positions 29 to 507 of the family's 1533-position model. The record is from RNAcentral.
AGUGAACGCUGGCGGUAGGCCUAACACAUGCAAGUCGAACGGCAGCACAGUAAGAGCUUGCUCUUACGGGUGGCGAGUGGCGGACGGGUGAGGAAUACAUCGGAAUCUACUUUUUCGUGGGGGAUAACGUAGGGAAACUUACGCUAAUACCGCAUACGACCUACGGGUGAAAGCAGGGGAUCUUCGGACCUUGCGCGAUUGAAUGAGCCGAUGUCGGAUUAGCUAGUUGGCGGGGUAAAGGCCCACCAAGGCGACGAUCCGUAGCUGGUCUGAGAGGAUGAUCAGCCACCCUGGAACUGAGACACGGUCCAGACUCCUACGGGAGGCAGCAGUGGGGAAUAUUGGACAAUGGGCGCAAGCCUGAUCCAGCCAUACCGAGUGGGUGAAGAAGGCCUUCGGGUUGUAAAGCCCUUUUGUUGGGAAAGAAAAGCAGCAGGUUAAUACCCCGCUGUUCUGACGGUACCCAAAGAAUAAGCACCGGCUAACUUCGUG